This 101-nucleotide ribosomal RNA is filed under the name Cronobacter sakazakii. Lineage: Bacteria; Pseudomonadati; Pseudomonadota; Gammaproteobacteria; Enterobacterales; Enterobacteriaceae. The record is from RNAcentral.
GCGGUGGUCCCACCUGACCCCAUGCCGAACUCAGAAGUGAAACGCCGUAGCGCCGAUGGUAGUGUGGGGCCUCCCCAUGCGAGAGUAGGGAACUGCCAGAC